Molecule: long non-coding RNA, 1636 nt
Organism: Lepus europaeus (European hare)
Lineage: Eukaryota; Metazoa; Chordata; Mammalia; Lagomorpha; Leporidae
Exons: 4
Source: RefSeq, a predicted model, not a curated record
ACUUGGCACCAUGGUCCCCACGACCCAGCCUCGAUUCUGACUUUCUCUCGGAUUACGUGCUGCGUGCCCAACCCUCAUCCACACCUUCACCCCGGCUGUGUUCCAGGCUUGAGGAUGUAACAGCCAAGGAGACGGCCAGAACCCCAGCUCCCACGGGAACAGUGUCUCAGCGGGGGAAACAGCAGCCAACAGGCAAACAGUACGUGGCUGUGCACCGCGCACUCACACACGCCACAGCGCCAGAGCUUAGGAGACCGCUAUGAGGACAGCGUCUCAGACAGUGUGGUCCUGGGGGGCUUCCCUGAGGAGGUGACCCACAGACAGAGGCCAGCAUUCCCGUGUGUGCCAGGCCGGGCCCACGGCCCGGUCCCAGCAGCGGCCAGAUCAGACAGCGGGUGACCUUUGACCAGCCCCUUGGUGGUCUCUGCCCUGGAUAAAAUCGUCAGCCUGCCGCCAUCUCCAUCACCUGACAACGCUGCAGCUGGGUAGCAACAACUACCGGGGAAGGGACAGGCAUCCCCCCACCCUGAAGCUGAGAGGUCCCCCAGAGCCACACAGCCUGGGGGCAGCAGCAACAGAGCCCACGCGCAGAGCCCACACUCUGACCACUGGUGGUGAGUGAGGGCACAGCCCCCGGAACGUGGGGUGAGGCCUGGGGAUUCAUUGCCAAGCUCAGCACGUGGGCCACAGCACGAGGAACAAAGCCCAGAGACCGUGGCCUUGUCCUCAGCUGCUCUCCACUGCCCCCGGCCCCACCCCGGGGCGCCUCCAGAUGUACCUGCUCCCCUGAAGGGGGGCCGCCCCCCACCCUGUCUCUGCUCUCAGAACUGGGGAGACGCCGCAGGCUUCAUUGUCUGCGCACAACCAGCACCCAGGUGGAGUCCGCCCCUCGGCGCCCUGUGACGCUGUGGGCCAUGUGGUCAGAAUCCUCCGACCAGACUUCGACAGUGUCUGGCGCCACGCUUACAGGUCUCGGCCUCCCCCACCUGUGAGAGGCCCCGAGCAGGCGUCACCAGCAAGAGGUUCCCAGGGCUCAACAAAGGUGGAAGACAAAGAUGGAAAACGUGCGCGCAUCACGGCAGCAGGGCCCAGACGCCCUUCGGUGACAAACAUCGUCCGACGGCUCCCUCCCAGCGCCCGAGAGGAACGCCACGGGGAACACGGACGGCGGCCUCUUCCGCGCCUCCGGAGCCCAGUGCCCUGCCCACCUGAGGGCCUCUCCCCGCCUCUGCCAAAGGACACGAGCAGAGGGCAGGGCAGCGAGUGCGCGUUUUACCCCCAACGUCAGCCACUCCCAGACUCCACCCAUCCGCCCCUUAAGCCCCAGGUUUAAAAAAACAAAAACAAAAACAAAGCUGAGAUUUUUAAAAAUAAGCCAAGUCAAGGGGUGGGGACGUGGCGGGACACAGGUUAAGCCACCCUUGGGGGGCCUGCAUCCCGUGGGGCGUCCCUGGGAUCGAGUCCCGCCUCUGCCGCCCAUCCAGGUGCCAGGUAACGCACCGGAGAGCAGCAGGUGACGGUGCAAGUGCUUGGUGCCUUCCUACCCACAUGGGAGACCUGGAUGGCACUUUUGGCUCCCGGUUUCAGCCUGGCUCAGUCUUGGACUAUAUGGGCAUUCGGGGAGUGAACCAGUGGA